RNAcentral lists this ribosomal RNA (598 nucleotides) under Trichoderma harzianum. Its description in RNAcentral is "eukaryotic LSU rRNA". The stretch from base 222 to 375 matches the Rfam family "5.8S ribosomal RNA". Lineage: Eukaryota; Fungi; Ascomycota; Sordariomycetes; Hypocreales; Hypocreaceae. The record is from RNAcentral.
GUACCUGCGGAGGGAUCAUUACCGAGUUUACAACUCCCAAACCCAAUGUGAACGUUACCAAACUGUUGCCUCGGCGGGAUCUCUGCCCCGGGUGCGUCGCAGCCCCGGACCAAGGCGCCCGCCGGAGGACCAACCAAAACUCUUUUUGUAUACCCCCUCGCGGGUUUUUUAUAAUCUGAGCCUUCUCGGCGCCUCUCGUAGGCGUUUCGAAAAUGAAUCAAAACUUUCAACAACGGAUCUCUUGGUUCUGGCAUCGAUGAAGAACGCAGCGAAAUGCGAUAAGUAAUGUGAAUUGCAGAAUUCAGUGAAUCAUCGAAUCUUUGAACGCACAUUGCGCCCGCCAGUAUUCUGGCGGGCAUGCCUGUCCGAGCGUCAUUUCAACCCUCGAACCCCUCCGGGGGGUCGGCGUUGGGGAUCGGCCCUGCCUCUUGGCGGUGGCCGUCUCCGAAAUACAGUGGCGGUCUCGCCGCAGCCUCUCCUGCGCAGUAGUUUGCACACUCGCAUCGGGAGCGCGGCGCGUCCACAGCCGUUAAACACCCAACUUCUGAAAUGUUGACCUCGGAUCAGGUAGGAAUACCCGCUGAACUUAAGCAUAUCA